UGGUGGAGUGAUUUGUUUGGUUGAUUCCGUGAACGAACGAGAUCUCACCCUCUUAAUGGGAGAGGGAUCAUCAGUGCUGCCCGCCUUUGGCGGAUCAGCCGAUCCCUGCUCCUUCAUUAGAGGAACACCGCAUGUCUUACAGUGCGAUGGAGCGAGCCAAUAGCA
RNAcentral lists this ribosomal RNA (165 nucleotides) under uncultured eukaryote. RNAcentral describes it as "partial 18S ribosomal RNA". It matches the Rfam family "Eukaryotic small subunit ribosomal RNA", at positions 1299 to 1458 of the family's 1831-position model. The record is from RNAcentral.